RNAcentral lists this transfer RNA (69 nucleotides) under Planctomycetaceae bacterium. RNAcentral's name for it is "tRNA-Arg". Lineage: Bacteria; Pseudomonadati; Planctomycetota; Planctomycetia; Planctomycetales; Planctomycetaceae. The record is from RNAcentral.
CCGCGUUUUCUCGGCGAUUACGUCGGACUUCGGAUCCGAAGGUUGGGGGUUCGACUCCCUCCGGGCGUA